This 1455-nucleotide long non-coding RNA is filed under the name Piliocolobus tephrosceles (Ugandan red Colobus). Its description in RNAcentral is "lncRNA (ENSPTEG00000004314.1)". The record is from RNAcentral. Lineage: Eukaryota; Metazoa; Chordata; Mammalia; Primates; Cercopithecidae.
AAAAUAUCAAUGUAUUUUCAACAUGUGAAUUUGAUAAUAAUAAUAAUAAUAAUAAUAGUGGUUUUAGUAGUAAUAACUUAAAAAAGGAAUACCAUAAUAUUGACAUUGGUAGUAGUAGUAGUAGUAGUAGUGGUGGUCACAAUAAUAACAGUCAUGAUAAGAAUAUAUCAAACAAAACAAGCAACAACAACAACAACAACAACAACAAUAACAAUACCAACAACAACAACAACAACAGCAAUAACGAACAACAUACAAACAAGCAAUUCAUACGAUUAGAUUUGAUAGAAGAACAUGAACAAGCAAUGAUGUCCGAAUUAAAUAUAUUAUUAAGCAAUAAAGACAUAGAUUUAGAAACUAAAAAUAAAAUUAAAGCUUUAUAUAUAGGAGCACACGAAAUAUAUAGGGAAUUAAAAAAUGAUAUAAAAUUAAAUUAUCCUAAAAUUGAUGACAUAAUACAAUUAUAUUAUGAAGAUAAUGUAAUGAAUAAAAAAAAAAAUGAAAUAUGGAAAAGUGUUUGUUUUUAUAAAUUAUUAGCUGAACAGUUAAGCAAUAUACAUAUAUCAACAAUAUCAUCGUAUCGGUUAGAAGGUUUAAAAUCAAUUUACAAAUGGUAUAAUAAAAACAAAAGGAUACUGUUUGGUUAUAUUGAAAAUGUGGAAAGAGGCAUUGGUAGUGGUAGUAGUAGUAGUAGUAGUGGUAGUAGUAGUAGUGGUAGUAGUGGUAGUAGUAGUGGUAGUAGUGGUAGUAGUGGUAGUAGUAGUGACAAUGAGAUAAGCAGUAUCAACAGCAGUGGCGACAACUGUACAUCUACUGUUGAAGGUGUAAUAAAAAAUGAUAAAAUAGUUAAAGAAGAUGAACAAGCAGAUGAAAUAACUUGCAAUUCAUGUAUUGAAAAAGAUAAUGGAGAAAAAUUAGAAGCGAGCAACACAAAUUAUGAAACAAAUAAAACAACAAAAAAUAAAAAGUCCUUAAAAUUAGAACAUAUACUGCAACAUUCUUAUCUCAAAACAACACAAGGAAAUAGCUUAAAACAGAUAGAAAAAAAUGUAUUAAAUAAAAAACACGAAGUGAUAGAUGAAAAAAACUCUGUUGAAAAACUAACUAACUAUAUAUUCCCAAAUUCGUUUUAUUUUGAAAACAGUAAUACAAUUGAUGAUAACAAUAAUAAAGAUAUUUUGCAAAUUAAUGAUAACAUUAGUAUAGAAAAAAAAAAUAGCGAUAGGAUAGAUGGUACAAAUGAAAAAUAUAUAAAUAAAGACGAAGAAAAAAAUGAUGAAUUGUGUAAUAUAAAGUUAAUAAAAUUAAGUGAAGAUGGAGAUGGAGAUGGAGAUAAAACAGAAAAUGAUCCUACUCCUUUGAUAAAUAUAGAUAAAAUAAAACAACUAGAAGAAGAAAUAAAUAAACAAAAAUUAUUAAUUAAAAAAAAAGAAAGUAAAAUUAUGAAUUCCACAA